GACGAACGCUGGCGGCGUGCUUAACACAUGCAAGUCGAACGGAAAGGCCCUGCUUUUGUGGGGUGCUCGAGUGGCGAACGGGUGAGUAACACGUGAGUAACCUGCCCUUGACUUUGGGAUAACUUCAGGAAACUGGGGCUAAUACCGGAUAGGCGCUCCUGCUGCAUGGUGGGGGUUGGAAAGUUUCGGCGGUUGGGGAUGGACUCGCGGCUUAUCAGCUUGUUGGUGGGGUAGUGGCUUACCAAGGCUUUGACGGGUAGCCGGCCUGAGAGGGUGACCGGCCACAUUGGGACUGAGAUACGGCGCAGACGCCUACGGGAGGCAGCAGUGGGGAAUAUUGCACAAUGGGCGGAAGCCUGAUGCAGCGACGCCGCGUGCGGGAUGACGGCCUGCGGGUUGUAAACCGCUUUCGCCUGUGACGAAGCGUGAGUGACGGUAAUGGGUAAAGAAGCACCGGCUAACUACGUG
RNAcentral lists this ribosomal RNA (468 nucleotides) under uncultured bacterium. RNAcentral's name for it is "partial 16S ribosomal RNA". It matches the Rfam family "Bacterial small subunit ribosomal RNA", at positions 28 to 507 of the family's 1533-position model. The record is from RNAcentral.